UGCAGAGGUCUCGAGCGUUAGGCGGAAUCACUGGGCUUAAAGCGUGUGUAGGCGGAUCGGUAAGUACCUUGUGAAAUCCCACAGCUUAACUGUGGAACUGCUUGGUAUACUGCCAGUCUUGAGCCAGCUAGGGGCUACCGGAACAAAUGGUGGAGCGGUGAAAUGCGUAGAUAUCAUUUGGAACGCCAAUGGUGAAAACAGGUAGCUGGGGCUGUGCUGACGCUGAGACACGAAAGCCAGGGGAGCAAACGGG
This 253-nucleotide ribosomal RNA is filed under the name uncultured bacterium. Its description in RNAcentral is "partial 16S ribosomal RNA". It matches the Rfam family "Bacterial small subunit ribosomal RNA", at positions 524 to 776 of the family's 1533-position model. The record is from RNAcentral.